This 434-nucleotide ribosomal RNA is filed under the name uncultured bacterium. Its description in RNAcentral is "partial 16S ribosomal RNA". It matches the Rfam family "Bacterial small subunit ribosomal RNA", at positions 29 to 507 of the family's 1533-position model. The record is from RNAcentral.
AGCGAACGCUGGCGGCAGGCCUAACACAUGCAAGUCGAACGAACCUUUCGGGGUUAGUGGCGGACGGGUGAGUAACACGUGGGAACGUGCCUUUAGGUUCGGAAUAACUCAGGGAAACUUGUGCUAAUACCGAAUGUGCCCUUCGGUGGAAAGAUUAAUCGCCUUUAGAGCGGCCCGCGUCUGAUUAGCUAGUUGGUUGAGGUAAUGGCUCACCAAGGCGACGAUCAGUAGCUGGUCUGAGAGGAUGAUCAGCCACAUUGGGACUGAGACACGGCCCAAACUCCUACGGGAGGCAGCAGUGGGGAAUCUUGCGCAAUGGGCGAAAGCCUGACGCAGCCAUGCCGCGUGAAUGAUGAAGGUCUUAGGAUUGUAAAAUUCUUUCACCGGGGACGAUAAUGACGGUACCCGGAGAAGAAGCCCCGGCUAACUUCGUG